GACGAACGCUGGCGGCGUGCCUAAUACAUGCAAGUCGAACGAGAGCGACCGGUGCUUGCACUGGUCAAUCUAGUGGCGAACGGGUGAGUAACACGUGGGUAACCUGCCCAUCAGAGGGGGAUAACAUUCGGAAACGGAUGCUAAAACCGCAUAGGUCUUCGAACCGCAUGGUUUGAAGAGGAAAAGAGGCGCAAGCUUCUGCUGAUGGAUAGACCCGCGGUGCAUUAGCUAGUUGGUGAGGUAACGGCUCACCAAGGCCGUGAUGCAUAGCCGACCUGAGAGGGUGAUCGGCCACAUUGGGACUGAGACACGGCCCAAACUCCUACGGGAGGCAGCAGUAGGGAAUCUUCCGCAAUGGACGCAAGUCUGACGGAGCAACGCCGCGUGAGUGAAGAAGGUUUUCGGAUCGUAAAACUCUGUUGUUAGAGAAGAACAAGUGCUAGAGUAACUGUUAGCGCCUUGACGGUAUCUAACCAGAAAGCCACGGCUAACUACGUG
RNAcentral lists this ribosomal RNA (498 nucleotides) under uncultured bacterium. RNAcentral describes it as "partial 16S ribosomal RNA". It matches the Rfam family "Bacterial small subunit ribosomal RNA", at positions 28 to 507 of the family's 1533-position model. The record is from RNAcentral.